GACUCUGGAGCGCAACCGGUAGCGCGUCUGACUCCAGAUCCGAAGGCUGCAUGUUCAAAUCACGUCAGGGUCA
Molecule: transfer RNA, 73 nt
Filed under: Gasterosteus aculeatus (three-spined stickleback)
Lineage: Eukaryota; Metazoa; Chordata; Actinopteri; Perciformes; Gasterosteidae
Rfam family: tRNA
About the family: Transfer RNA (tRNA) molecules are approximately 80 nucleotides in length. Their secondary structure includes four short double-helical elements and three loops (D, anti-codon, and T loops). Further hydrogen bonds mediate the characteristic L-shaped molecular structure. tRNAs have two regions of fundamental functional importance: the anti-codon, which is responsible for specific mRNA codon recognition, and the 3' end, to which the tRNAs corresponding amino acid is attached (by aminoacyl-tRNA synthetases). tRNAs cope with the degeneracy of the genetic code in two manners: having more than one tRNA (with a specific anti-codon) for a particular amino acid; and 'wobble' base-pairing, i.e. permitting non-standard base-pairing at the 3rd anti-codon position.
Source: Rfam by way of RNAcentral